This 1649-nucleotide long non-coding RNA is filed under the name Sus scrofa (pig). Its description in RNAcentral is "lncRNA (ENSSSCG00060063961.1)". Lineage: Eukaryota; Metazoa; Chordata; Mammalia; Artiodactyla; Suidae. The record is from RNAcentral.
GUCUACUUCUGUGUCUGGAAGGGGGUCAAGUCAACAGGAAAGGUACGGCGGGGGCAGGUCACAGCAGGGCUGGGGGGCAGCGUUGCCUGGGGGGUAGGGGUGUCUGCCAGGAACGACUGUUGCAGCAGGAGGUGACUGGCCCCCGGCCAAAGCCCAGGAGGGAGCAGGGCCUUCUAUCCCAGCCUCUCCAUCCCCACCUCAUGGCUGGAUAGUCUGCCCCACCCUCCAAAUUAGGCUGGCGCCUUCCCCCCCCUAGAGGGAGGAGGGGGCGAGGCCGGACUGCUUCCUCCCCCCGCCCCCCCCACCCCCAGCCUGGGUGGGGCCUCCCUGUCCCGCCUUUCCGCCCUCCUCUCCUCUGAGUCUAUUCUGUUGCUGGUCUUGGAAGACCGGGUCUGUACCCGGCUCUCACCUGCCUGUGUGGCCUGGGGGACCCAGCGGGGAGGCUGGACACAUGCCUCCCUCGGGGGCUCCCUGACAGAUCGUGUAUUUCACCGCUACAUUCCCCUACGUGGUCCUCGUUGUACUGCUGGUGCGUGGAGUGCUGCUGCCCGGCGCCUUGGACGGCAUCAUCUACUAUCUCAAGCCCGACUGGUCGAAGCUGGCGUCCCCUCAGGUGUGGAUAGAUGCCGGCACCCAGAUUUUCUUUUCUUACGCCAUUGGCCUGGGGGCCCUCACGGCCCUGGGCAGCUACAACCGCUUCAACAACAACUGCUACAAGGAUGCCAUCAUCCUCGCGCUCAUCAACAGCGGGACCAGCUUCUUUGCUGGCUUCGUGGUCUUCUCCAUCCUGGGCUUCAUGGCCACAGAGCAGGGCGUGCACAUCUCCAAGGUGGCCGAGUCAGGUAAAGACCUCCGAGCCGCAGCCCGGCCUCGAGCAGCUGCUGCCCGACGUACCGUGUACACAAACACCACUCGAGGAGAGGAAUGAGAACUCAAACUCAAUUUGUCACAUCACUCUGGGCCAGAAGUGGGCCUGGCUAAGCAGCUGUGAGGCACAGCUGUUCCGCCCGCUCAGGGCUGGAGCCCUGGGGGCUGGGCCACGUGGAGCCUUGGGGCCCCCGCCCGUCUGUAUCCAGGGGUCCCCGGCUAUAGCCUCACCCGCCAGAGUGUCGCACGGGGACAGGAGGGCCUCUGCGAGGUCAGUGGUGACCUGUGACCACAAUAGCUGCUGGCACCCAGGGCCGGAAGGCUGAGCCAGACACCCCAUUCUUAGGGGUGGAAGUCUACCAGGGGCCUGCGGGAACCUUCCAUCCAGCCCGCGGUGUGGCACAGGGACUUGCGUGGCCCGGCAGCCCCCUGAUGCCAGUGGGAAGGUCCUUGGCCACAGGGUGCCCUGCUGGCGUCCACGCCUCGGGUACCGUGGGGCAGGUGGGGAGUGGGGGCUGGGAUGUGGCUGGGGAGCUACAGGUGUCCACAUCCUGCCCCUUCCCCCCCAGGGCCUGGUCUGGCUUUCAUCGCCUACCCCAGGGCUGUCACACUGAUGCCUGUGGCCCCGCUCUGGGCUGCCCUGUUCUUCUUCAUGCUGCUGCUGCUCGGCCUCGACAGCCAGGUUUGCGAGGGGACAGGACAGGGGGUGCCGGGCGCUGGGGGGCGCUGGGCGGCGGGAGGGUGGGAGGCGAGGGGUGGGGGUGGGGGGCGCGGGGGCACAG